UGGGGAAUUUUGGACAAUGGGCGCAAGCCUGAUCCAGCCAUGCCGCGUGCGGGAAGAAGGCCUUCGGGUUGUAAACCGCUUUUGUCAGGGAAGAAACCCUUUGAGCUAAUACCUCGGGGGGAUGACGGUACCUGAAGAAUAAGCACCGGCUAACUACGUGCCGGCAGCCGCGGUAAUACGUAGGGUGCAAGCGUUAAUCGGAAUUACUGGGCGUAAAGCGUGCGCAGGCGGUUAUGCAAGACAGAUGUGAAAUCCCCGGGCUCAACCUGGGAACUGCAUUGGAGACUGCAAGGCUAGAAUCUGGCAGAGGGGGGCAGAAUUCCACGUGUAGCAGUGAAAUGCGUAGAUAUGCGGAGGAACACCGAUGGCGAAGGCAGCCUCCUGGGCCAGUACUGACGCUCAUGCACGAAAGCGUGGGGAGCAAACA
RNAcentral lists this ribosomal RNA (427 nucleotides) under uncultured bacterium. RNAcentral describes it as "bacterial SSU rRNA". It matches the Rfam family "Bacterial small subunit ribosomal RNA", at positions 355 to 774 of the family's 1533-position model. The record is from RNAcentral.